GAUGAAGAACGCAGCGAAAUGCGAUACGUAAUGUGAAUUGCAGAAUUCAGUGAAUCAUCGAAUUUUUGAACGCACAUUGCACUCUCUGGUAUUCCGGAGAGUAUGCUUGUUUGAGUAUCUGUAAACAUCUCAAAUGUCUCUUCAAUUGCUUCAAUUGGGUCGAGAGAAUUGGAUUUGAGCGAUCCCGACUCCUUCGUCAGAAAGAGGAGGGUCGCUUGAAAUGCAGGUGCAGCUGGACAUUCUUCUGAGCAAAAAGCAUAUCUAUUUAGUCCCGUCAAACGGAUUAUUACUUUUGCUUCAGCUAAUAUAAAGGUUGAAUGAACUACCAACGCUGAUUGCAGGAAAACAUGUUCGUUUAUUCGGACUUGUAAACUCGAUCUCAAAUCAAGUAAGACUACCCGCUGAACUUAAGCAUAUCAAUAAGCGGAGGA
This 431-nucleotide unclassified non-coding RNA is filed under the name soil metagenome. Its description in RNAcentral is "partial contains 5.8S ribosomal RNA, internal transcribed spacer 2, and large subunit ribosomal RNA". The stretch from base 1 to 120 matches the Rfam family "5.8S ribosomal RNA", at positions 35 to 154 of the family's 154-position model. The record is from RNAcentral.